RNAcentral lists this ribosomal RNA (487 nucleotides) under uncultured bacterium. RNAcentral describes it as "partial 16S ribosomal RNA". It matches the Rfam family "Bacterial small subunit ribosomal RNA", at positions 28 to 507 of the family's 1533-position model. The record is from RNAcentral.
GAUGAACGCUAGCGAUAGGCUUAACACAUGCAAGUCGAGGGGCAGCACAAGGUAGCUUGCUAUCUGGGUGGCGACCGGCGCACGGGUGCGUAACGCGUAUGCAACUUGCCCUAUACAGGAGGAUAACCCGUCGAAAGACGGACUAAUACUGCGUAUGCUCACAACUUGGCAUCAAGUGGUGAGGAAAGAAAUUCGGUAUAGGAUAGGCAUGCGUCCCAUUAGCUUGUUGGUGAGGUAACGGCUCACCAAGGCAACGAUGGGUAGGGGAACUGAGAGGUUUAUCCCCCACACUGGUACUGAGACACGGACCAGACUCCUACGGGAGGCAGCAGUGAGGAAUAUUAGUCAAUGGGCGCGAGCCUGAACCAGCCAAGUCGCGUGAAGGAUGACUGUCCUAUGGAUUGUAAACUUCUUUUAUACGGGAAUAACAAGAGUCACGUGUGACUCCCUGCAUGUACCGUAUGAAUAAGCAUCGGCUAACUCCGUG